ACUUCACGCCAGUCUGCCGCGAACGAUGCGUCGGGCGGUCGUGUUUUACGUCUCGCCCGUUAUCGCUCCCAACUUCGAAAUUGUUUUACGAAAAUAUGUAAAGUUUCUAAACAUCAAUUUGUGCAGAACUGCCGUGACUUACGCACUGCGUUGUGCUUAAUUAUAUAAGACCGACCUAAUUUAGUAGUUUUAAGUUUUUGAAACUUAAUAGGCUUACUCGUUUUACCUGCAUGCAUCGUCCCACGAGUCGUGCGAAGCGGUUACCUUUAUCGGAUAAACGAACAUUUUUCAAAUGGAUGUGCGUUUGUAUUCUGUGAUAGUGUGCGUGAUCAGUGUGAAUACGAGACAACUUCGUGUGUUCUUGUUUGCUGCCUGUGACAAGUUUUUACUGCAGUGACGUGCUCAAAAUAGUAAUAAUAUAGAAUUGAGAAAAUGGCACGCGGGGUAAAGAGGGGCUUCCUUGCCGCGCUGUUGAUCGGUUCGCUUGCGGUGGCGUCGGCGCAGUAUACGAAAGGUAUAAAUCAAAAGAGUCAGCAGUCAAGGAAUAAGAGAAGUUAUAACCACUCAACAACACAUAUUCGUUACUUGUUUUUAAAAUACAUACUUGCCUUAUUCGUAUUGUUUUUGUUAUUAAAAUAAAAACAUUUUCAAGACCAAAUUUAGCAUUGGUUGGUCGAGGUAUAG
Molecule: unclassified non-coding RNA, 684 nt
Filed under: Melitaea cinxia (Glanville fritillary)
Lineage: Eukaryota; Metazoa; Arthropoda; Insecta; Lepidoptera; Nymphalidae
Description: misc RNA ENSMCXG00005013287.1
Source: RNAcentral